RNAcentral lists this ribosomal RNA (201 nucleotides) under uncultured bacterium. RNAcentral's name for it is "partial 16S ribosomal RNA". It matches the Rfam family "Bacterial small subunit ribosomal RNA", at positions 1300 to 1500 of the family's 1533-position model. The record is from RNAcentral.
GCAGUCUGCAACUCGAGUGCAUGAAGCUGGAAUCGCUAGUAAUCGCGGAUCAGAAUGCCGCGGUGAAUACGUUCCCGGGUCUUGUACACACCGCCCGUCACACCAUGGGAGUCGGGAAUGCCCGAAGCCGGUGGCCCGAUCGAAAGAAGGGAGCCGUCGAAGGCAGGCCGGAUGACUGGGGUGAAGUCGUAACAAGGUACC